RNAcentral lists this unclassified non-coding RNA (225 nucleotides) under Protrudomyces lateralis. Its description in RNAcentral is "partial internal transcribed spacer region". The stretch from base 1 to 46 matches the Rfam family "Eukaryotic small subunit ribosomal RNA", at positions 1786 to 1831 of the family's 1831-position model. Lineage: Eukaryota; Fungi; Chytridiomycota; Chytridiomycetes; Rhizophydiales; Protrudomycetaceae. The record is from RNAcentral.
AAGUCGUAACAAGGUAACCGUAGGUGAACCUGCGGUUGGAUCAUUACUGAUUACUGUUUCCAAGGUCGAGACCUAGUCUCUCUUGCAAACUUUUCACACUUUGUGCACCGAGAUUGUAUUUUGGGCUGUUGUUUCGGCAGUAGCCCAGCAUUUUCAACCACUUUAAAUUGAUCUGAAUUUUUUUAUAAAAAAUAACAACUUUUGACAACGGAUCUCUUGGCUCUC